RNAcentral lists this ribosomal RNA (1373 nucleotides) under Salmonella enterica. RNAcentral describes it as "bacterial LSU rRNA". It matches the Rfam family "Bacterial large subunit ribosomal RNA", at positions 1576 to 2925 of the family's 2925-position model. Lineage: Bacteria; Pseudomonadati; Pseudomonadota; Gammaproteobacteria; Enterobacterales; Enterobacteriaceae. RNAcentral also lists the same sequence under 7 other names. The record is from RNAcentral.
ACUACGGUGCUGAAGCAACAAAUGCCCUGCUUCCAGGAAAAGCCUCUAAGCAUCAGGUAACAUCAAAUCGUACCCCAAACCGACACAGGUGGUCAGGUAGAGAAUACCAAGGCGCUUGAGAGAACUCGGGUGAAGGAACUAGGCAAAAUGGUGCCGUAACUUCGGGAGAAGGCACGCUGACACGUAGGUGAAGUGAUUUACUCACGGAGCUGAAGUCAGUCGAAGAUACCAGCUGGCUGCAACUGUUUAUUAAAAACACAGCACUGUGCAAACACGAAAGUGGACGUAUACGGUGUGACGCCUGCCCGGUGCCGGAAGGUUAAUUGAUGGGGUCAGCGCAAGCGAAGCUCCUGAUCGAAGCCCCGGUAAACGGCGGCCGUAACUAUAACGGUCCUAAGGUAGCGAAAUUCCUUGUCGGGUAAGUUCCGACCUGCACGAAUGGCGUAAUGAUGGCCAGGCUGUCUCCACCCGAGACUCAGUGAAAUUGAACUCGCUGUGAAGAUGCAGUGUACCCGCGGCAAGACGGAAAGACCCCGUGAACCUUUACUAUAGCUUGACACUGAACAUUGAGCCUUGAUGUGUAGGAUAGGUGGGAGGCUUUGAAGUGUGGACGCCAGUCUGCAUGGAGCCGACCUUGAAAUACCACCCUUUAAUGUUUGAUGUUCUAACGUGGACCCGUAAUCCGGGUUGCGGACAGUGUCUGGUGGGUAGUUUGACUGGGGCGGUCUCCUCCUAAAGAGUAACGGAGGAGCACGAAGGUUGGCUAAUCCUGGUCGGACAUCAGGAGGUUAGUGCAAUGGCAUAAGCCAGCUUGACUGCGAGCGUGACGGCGCGAGCAGGUGCGAAAGCAGGUCAUAGUGAUCCGGUGGUUCUGAAUGGAAGGGCCAUCGCUCAACGGAUAAAAGGUACUCCGGGGAUAACAGGCUGAUACCGCCCAAGAGUUCAUAUCGACGGCGGUGUUUGGCACCUCGAUGUCGGCUCAUCACAUCCUGGGGCUGAAGUAGGUCCCAAGGGUAUGGCUGUUCGCCAUUUAAAGUGGUACGCGAGCUGGGUUUAGAACGUCGUGAGACAGUUCGGUCCCUAUCUGCCGUGGGCGCUGGAGAACUGAGGGGGGCUGCUCCUAGUACGAGAGGACCGGAGUGGACGCAUCACUGGUGUUCGGGUUGUCAUGCCAAUGGCACUGCCCGGUAGCUAAAUGCGGAAGAGAUAAGUGCUGAAAGCAUCUAAGCACGAAACUUGCCCCGAGAUGAGUUCUCCCUGAGACUUUAGGUCUCCUGAAGGAACGUUGAAGACGACGACGUUGAUAGGCCGGGUGUGUAAGCGCAGCGAUGCGUUGAGCUAACCGGUACUAAUGAACCGUGAGGCUUAACCUU